GACGUAGGGCGCGAGCGUUGUCCGGAUUUAUUGGGCGUAAAGAGCUCGUAGGCGGCUUGUUGCGUCAGCAUGUGAAAACCCGCAGCUCAACUCCGGGCCUGCAGUCGAUACGGGCGGACUUGAGUGUUGCAGGGGAGACUGGAAUUCCUGGUGUAGCGGUGGAAUGCGCAGAUAUCAGGAGGAACACCGGUGGCGAAGGCGGGUCUCUGGGCUGUAAACUGACGCUGGAGGAGCGAAAGCGUCGGGUAGCGAACAGG
This 257-nucleotide ribosomal RNA is filed under the name uncultured bacterium. RNAcentral describes it as "partial 16S ribosomal RNA". It matches the Rfam family "Bacterial small subunit ribosomal RNA", at positions 524 to 776 of the family's 1533-position model. The record is from RNAcentral.